GCUUUGGGAAAACCUCAUUUUGUGACUGCCGAUAUGGUAAAAGAAGGUGCGGUAGUGGUAGACGUCGGAAUCCACCGGAUACCUUCGGAUAAAACGAAGUCCGGUUUCCGCCUGGUGGGGGAUGUAGAUUUUGAAGGAGUAGCUCCUAAAUGUUCUUAUAUCACGCCUGUUCCGGGAAAAGUAAUCAACCGAGAUUCCGAAAGUAGUGGCGAGCGAAAUCGGAAGAGGCCAAACCGUACGUAGCAAUAUGUGCGGGGUUGUGGACGGCGAGAUCGGAAAGCUUCGUUAGACGAAUGGUCUGGGAAGGCCAGUCAAAGAGUGUGAGAGCCACGUAGUCGAAAAUGAAGUGAACGUAGCCGGAUCCAGAGUACCGCGGGGCACGAGGAAUCCCGUGGGAAGCCGGGGGGACCACCCUCCAAGCCAAAAUACUACCUGAUGACCGAUAGAGGAGCAGUACCGUGAGGGAAAGGUGAAAAGCACCCCGGGAGGGGAGUGAAAUAGUACCUGAAACCUUGUGCUUACAAGCAGACAUAGCCCGUUAAAGGGUGGUGUCGUACUUUUUGUAGAACGGUCCGGCGAGUUAUAGUAACUGGCGAGCUUAAGGUAUUCAGUACCGGAGGCGAAGGGAAACCGAGUGUGAAGAGCGCGUGAAGUCAGUUGCCAUAGACCCGAAACCAGGUGACCUAGCCAUGUCCAGGAUGAAGUGGAGGUAAAGCUCCAUGGAGGUCCGAACCCACGUACGUUGCAAUGUCCGGGGAUGAGGUGUGGCUAGCGGUGAAAUUCCAAACGAACUUGGAGAUAGCUGGUUCUCCCCGAAAUAGCUUUAGGGCUAGCGUAGGUAAUGAGUUUCACGGAGGUAAAGCACUGUCUGAGCUAGGGGGCGAUAAGCUUACUGAACUCUAACAAACUAAGAAUGCCGUAGAAAUGCUUACCUGCAGUCAGACUGCGAGUAAUAAAAUCCGUGGUCAAAAGGGAAACAGCCCAGACCCACAGCUAAGGUCCCAAAUAUACGCUAAGUGGAAAACGAUGUGAGAUUGCAUAAACAACCAGGAUGUUGGCUUAGAGGCAGCCACUCGUUCAAAGAGUGCGUAAUAGCUCACUGGUCGAGUGAUCUUGCGCGGAAAAUUUAACGGGGCUAAGCGUAUAACCGAAGCUUGGGAAUGUCGAAAGACAUUGGUAGGGGAGCGUCGUGUAUGGGGUGAAGUCGCAUCGGAAGGAGCGGUGGACUGUACACGAGUGAGAAUGCCGGAAUGAGUAGCGAGAAUUAUGUGGGAAUCAUAAUGGCCGAAAAUCUAAGGUUUCUUGGGGAAGGUUCGUCCGCCCAAGGUAAGUCGGGAGCUAAGCUCAGGCCGAGAGGCGUAGGCGAUGCACAUACGGUAGAAAUUCCGUAACCACCGAAACUUAAACAGAGGGACACUUCGAAAUAGCGGAACCCGGGCGUUGGUUGACCCGGGCGUAAGGGAGCGAAAUUAGAGUAGCGAAGUCCGCGAUGUUCGGAGGCGAGAAAAGCUCUGAGGUAUGCUAAGGUGCCCGUACCGCAAACCGACACAGGUAGAUGAGGAGAGAAUCCUAAGGCCAACGGGAGAAGGGUUGUUAAGGAACUCGGCAAAUUGACCCCGUAACUUCGGAAGAAGGGGAGCCCCCUACGGGGGGUCGCAGAGAAAUGGCCCAAGCAACUGUUUACCAAAAACACAGGUCUAUGCUAAAUCGAAAGAUGACGUAUAUGGGCUGACGCCUGCCCGGUGCCGGAAGGUUAAGAGGAGAUGUCAGGCAACGAAGCAUUGAAUUUAAGCCCCGGUAAACGGCGGCCGUAACUAUAACGGUCCUAAGGUAGCGAAAUUCCUUGUCAGGUAAGUUCUGACCCGC
RNAcentral lists this ribosomal RNA (1866 nucleotides) under human gut metagenome. Its description in RNAcentral is "bacterial LSU rRNA". It matches the Rfam family "Bacterial large subunit ribosomal RNA", at positions 115 to 1991 of the family's 2925-position model. The record is from RNAcentral.